Cephus cinctus (wheat stem sawfly) is the source of this 1521-nucleotide long non-coding RNA. RefSeq lists it as uncharacterized. Lineage: Eukaryota; Metazoa; Arthropoda; Insecta; Hymenoptera; Cephidae. The record is from RefSeq and is a predicted model, not a curated record. The transcript is spliced from 6 exons.
AAAGAACACCAAUCCCAGGACUUUGCUGGCCUUUUGUUCGGUAGCCACAGCAUUAGCCGCGAGUGAUCUUCUUUUCGUUCUCCCGGCCAGGAACCUGAACAUUCAAUUUAACAAGUCAAUUCUCAGGUGUAAUAUUUUACACGAGUCCUGUAAUUUACCUGCUGCUCGAUGCAUUGCUUCCAGAAGUUCUCCACAAAUGUCGCGUGGACAAGGUCGAAGCUCUGGAAGACCUCGACGGGGUAGUCGACGUUUUGGCUGCCGCAAAGCGACCCCCCAGUCUGCGAAACUGGUCGCUCUCAGGAUGUUCCGCGACGAAACGUGCUUUCUUCCUCAAGAGCUGCACCGAAGGGCCCACGAAAUACAUUCAUCUCAAUACCCAGUCUAGUUCUUCAUUUGCACCACCAGAGGGUGCGAAAUGCUAUAUUUAGUCUUCCACCGGAAACUGUAAUAACAUUGUGGCAGGAAGAAAAGAGAGAAAGUACACAGAAAUUGGUCUUUAUGGAGAUUAUAAUGGCAUCGGUACUGAAUGCUAUUUACAGUGCCUACAGCAGUGAUGCCUGUCAGUAAUGAGGUUCAUAUAUGGAUGGUUAAAACAGGAGGAAUUCAUCAAUGGGAUAGGACGAUAAUCCUCUUAACGAACAUAGACAAGCGCCCCUAGCGGCGAAACGAGUAAGCGCUGGAGAAUUCAUAUGGGAAUAUAUUGGAGGAGAAACAUUGAAAAUUAUUAAGACAUACAACCCAUAUGUAAAGGGUGUCCCAGUUUAAACGUUGUCACAUGAUAUUCCCAUUUACGUGACACGUGCUCGGUGCUGAAGAAGUUCAGUCGGGAGGCCGAAGUCGACUGAAAAAUUGUCGUGCAGCUUUUUGAAAUUCUUCAAUGCAAUUUUUUUCGAUGCGCUCGCUCAACGUCAAUCACUAGCUGGAGAAAAAGUGAAGAAAACAUUUCAACGUGUAACGCCAACCUUAUCCAUCAUCGAGGAGUGGAAUCUGAAAAGAAUUUUUCGAAAUUCUUAUACUCGAACGUCGGAAAGACUAUUUUGAAAAAGAAGCAGAAAAUUUCUCUCCACCGAGAUCAAAGCUGCUGAUGGCUCAUUGUGCUGCGCGUGGAAGGUAGAAAGUUCAAAGUGCACUGCAGCUAAGAAUGUGCGCAGCCCUUUCAGCCGUCAUUGAACUACAGUUUAGCAAGAAAGAGUAAGGCUGUGAGGCUGCAAAAAAAGGCGCAGGAAUACGUCAUUACGGAGUUUAACACUCUCCGAUGGUAGUCCACUAGACUGUAAGGGUGCAAUUACUGCUGGAACUUUUGAAACGAAUUUAAAAAGCAAUCCAAUCAGAAUGUGACUUCCGCUUGAAUAUUCAGUCUCCUCAACACUUUUCUUCUCUCUUCGACAUUCCUCCCAUGGUUAUAUCUUGGCAGUGAGAAUCUUUGAGUCAAUACUGGAUCAGCACGUUACAAUAGUUGAUAAUUUAUUUCUUGGCCACAGUUGAUAGAAGCUCCAGGAUGGUUCAAACCGCAAGUACAGG